RNAcentral lists this small nucleolar RNA (137 nucleotides) under Prolemur simus (greater bamboo lemur). Its description in RNAcentral is "Small Cajal body specific RNA 11 (ENSPSMG00000009329.1)". It matches the Rfam family "Small Cajal body specific RNA 11". Rfam says of the family: scaRNAs are a specific class of small nuclear RNAs which localise to the Cajal bodies and guide the modification of RNA polymerase II transcribed spliceosomal RNAs U1, U2, U4, U5 and U12. ACA57 belongs to the H/ACA box class of guide RNAs as it has the predicted hairpin-hinge-hairpin-tail structure, conserved H/ACA-box motifs and is found associated with GAR1. Lineage: Eukaryota; Metazoa; Chordata; Mammalia; Primates; Lemuridae. The record is from Rfam by way of RNAcentral.
AUGUCUAGAAAGUUGUGGCAAUUUUGAUGCCUUACAAAGUGCAGGGAAUAGUCUGGCAGGACACACAGCAAACUCCCUCUCAGUUUAGAGAACUAUCCUAAGAAUAGGACUGGCUCUUAAAGGCACAAGAGGACAAU